RNAcentral lists this ribosomal RNA (276 nucleotides) under uncultured prokaryote. Its description in RNAcentral is "partial 16S ribosomal RNA". It matches the Rfam family "Bacterial small subunit ribosomal RNA", at positions 524 to 798 of the family's 1533-position model. The record is from RNAcentral.
UACGUAGGUGGCGAGCGUUGUCCGGAUUUACUGGGCGUAAAGGGAGCGUAGGCGGACUUUUAAGUGAGAUGUGAAAUACCCGGGCUUAACUUGGGUGCUGCAUUUCAAACUGGAAGUCUAGAGUGCAGGAGAGGAGAAUGGAAUUCCUAGUGUAGCGGUGAAAUGCGUAGAGAUUAGGAAGAACACCAGUGGCGAAGGCGACUCUUUGGUCUAUUACUGACGCUGAGGUACGAAAGCAUGGGUAGCAAACAGGAUUAGAUACCCGGGUAGGUCCCU